AUGACAACUCUGAGCAAGUCAAAACAACCGUCAGCAGCGGGAAACCUCGAUGAACAAACACCGGGAGAGUGUUUCUGCAGAUCCUGCUUUGUGACUUCGAGUGAAGUGUGGAAGCGCUGGAAGCACUUAGACCCUGCCUGUGCCGCAGACCCCUGGGAGGCACCAACACCCCGGAUCGAGAAGCCCGAUGGGAAAGAAUGUCUGGGAAGGACGUCAUGCCCGAGGCUUGCGUGACAGUUUCCACUCACAGUGCGCUCACUCUGAACCUCUGUGCACACGAUGGGCCUGCAUCUCUUCCCACUAUCUGCUAGGAAACACGAGGAAUCAUGGGAUUUGCCGCAGUUUGCACCCAGGCCUGUGCGGAUGCCCCCCGACUGCCCGAGAUGCUGCACCUGCCACUGCUGGGGGUGUACCUGCCUAUGCCCACUCACAGGGGCACCUCCAGGGUAGCUGCCUGGUGCAGGCAUUGGCUCUAAGCAGAGCAGCACUAUGGGCCCAUCUGGGGCUGGCUCUUGCCUGGGCCUGUGAGCACCAUCACAGCCAGCCGAUCUGGGAGUAUCCAG
Molecule: long non-coding RNA, 563 nt
Filed under: Homo sapiens (human)
Lineage: Eukaryota; Metazoa; Chordata; Mammalia; Primates; Hominidae
Description: non-protein coding LINC00313:9
Source: RNAcentral